This 3743-nucleotide long non-coding RNA is filed under the name Homo sapiens (human). RNAcentral's name for it is "HSALNT0164955". The record is from RNAcentral. Lineage: Eukaryota; Metazoa; Chordata; Mammalia; Primates; Hominidae.
GUAUGUGGAAACACAGAGGAGGGGUUUUUUGAUGGGUUUGAAGGUGGCCCCCAAAAGAUAGAUCCAGAUCCAUGGACUCCUGGUACCAUGAAUGUGACCUUCUUUGGAUAGAGGGUUUUUGCAGAUGUAAUUAACUUACUGAAGUCACCCUGAAUUAUUCAGAUGGGUCCUAAAUUUGGUGACACAUGUUCUAAUAAGAGAUAGAAGGGGAGAAGACACAGACACAGGGAGAAGACAGCCAUGUGAAGGCAGAGACGGGAGUGAGGCAUCUACAAGCCAAAGACUGCCGGCAACCACCAGAAGCCAGGAGAGAGGCCUGCAACGGGUUGUCCCUCACACCCCUCAGGAAAAGCCGGCAGGCCAACACCUUGAUUUGGGACUCCUGGCCUCCAGAACUGUGAGAAAAUGGAUUGCCACUAUUUCAAGCCACCUGGGCAGUGGUGCUCUGGUGCAGCAGUCUAUGGGCAACUGAGUGUCUAACUCACAUCCAGGAAGGUUGUCUUGGGAGGUUUCUGAAGCAGCGGCAUUAGAAAUGAGUCCUGAAGUUGGAGUAGAAGGUCAUCAGGUUGCAGGGAGGUGGGCAGAAGGCCUUCAGGAGGCCUUACCGGAGCGUGCACAGGCAUGAGGCAAGAACAAGCACUGCGGGGGCUGAGGACAAUGAUCCAGUAGGACUGGAGCCUGGGAGCCUGCAGAAGACAGCGUCAAAGAUAGGCCUACUCUAAAGAUGGUACUCUGUUGACCCAGAGUCUGGAUGUCAUUGUGAGGGUAAUGGGCUCAUUAAAAGUGUUCAGUAGGGGAGUGCUCCAGUCAGGUGUGCUUUGGAAAGGUUUCACAGGAACCCAAAGAGAAGAAUGGAUCCAGAACUGACCCGUCCAAGACUAGGAGGUCUGUUUGGCAACAAUGCCAGCCUGGAAUGGUGGGAGAUGGAGUGGGCAGAGGCGAGGCAGGCACAGAGCCCAGGGGAUGGGAGGACACAGGGGGAGGAGACACCAUCAGCAGAGCCUGGACUGCCUAUUGUGGGGCACUCUAGGAGGCCACCCAACUAGGGGUCUGGGUGAUGGCGUCAUUCCACUUACUGAACCAUGGAGAGAGAGUGGCCUCAGGGGUCCACGAUGAGUUAGGUUUGGGGACAUGUUGCAUCUUCAUGCGAUUGCUAAGAGGAUCAAUGGACUAUAACAUAUGCAAAGUGCCCAGCACAGCGGCCAGCCAGUGGCGCUCAAUAUUUAUCAGGAGACUGCAGAAACAGGCCCGAGGGAGGGACUAGACACUUGUCUCCAUCUCCAUGCCUGGCACCAUCUGCAGUGCUGGGCACAAUAGGUGCUCAAUGAAUGCCCACAGAAUUGAAAUAUGGGCUGGACCUCAAACACCAUCUGCCAGGCCAUCAUAAGCCCAACACUUUGCAGCAAGAGAUUCACCCCACAGACCACAUCGACAUCCACGCAGUUGCAAGGAAAUCAAUCGGUCUGGCUCCAGCUGUCGAAACUAGGAGCCAAGAGGAACCCUGGACAAAUAGUCUUCGGCUCAGCACUUUCUCCAUCUGGAAAGAAAACCAGGUGGGGGCAGGGGAGGAACACCAGGCCAUCAGAAGGUUAUAAGUCCAUAAAUAAGAGAUUUGUGGUAAAUAAGCUGGCGAACAUAUCCGCUGGCUGCUCUUUUUUAUCACUCACCUAGACAGCAAAAUUCCCCCGCAUCUUUUCUGCAGGCCAAUAAAUAUCCUUCAAGGAGCCUGUAUUUACAUAGAGAGCAAGGCGGGUGCCACUGCUCCACAGGCCCCAUGUCAAGAAGGAACAAUGUAUGGCCCUAAAGAGAAUGGCUGUGCGGGGAAUCAAUGCAAAUGCAGUUUCUUUUCCCAGGGUGAUGCUCCUGAGCAGGGUUCAGCCCGAGUUCAAGGAUUGUGCUCAGGCGGGUGCUGAGGGGACCUUUACAUGGAGGAGGUGAAUCUCUCCCCUAGGCAGGGUCCCCAGCUGCCUCAAGCCCACUCUGGGGCUCUGCACCCAAGACCCUUUCUCCAAAAUGAAAGAGGCCUAAAGGUUAUACUCUGGGACCUCUAGAUCAACCACUGGGUGUUAUGCCACAGAAGGAUUCAUUAAGGACCUACUGUGUGCCAGGCGCAGUAGGUAAAUGGAAACAAGGACAGACAAGGCUCCUGCCUUCCAAUCAGAGAGCUGGGAUUGAGUGGCUUCGCCCAGUAGUGGGGAAGGCUGGUCAGAAGGGCUGGCAUAUAAGCUGACACACCCAGUGGGAUUUGAACAUGAGCAGAGGAGAGAGGGUCCUGAGUAGAGACCAUGGCCUGCUCAGAGCACCCCAGGUAAGAGACAUGGAAGCAAGGUGCCAGGAGGAGGUAGAAGGACAUCUGAUACCUGGAGCGCAGUGGGUGAGAAGAAACCAGGACACACAGGAGAUGACGUCUAUGAACUGGAAAGCGGGCCUUCGCCAGAUACUGGAUCUGCUGUCAUCUUAAUCUGGGACUCUUCAGUCUCCACAACUGAAACGGAAACUUUUGGAGGUUGAUACAUGAUCCAGAAUUGCACCCCCAGGAAGGAACAGCCGGGAGAUUCAAAUCCAGAUCUUGUCAUCCAAGGUCUGGUUCCAAGUCUGCCCCUCAGAACCUGAGCCUCCUGGUUGCUCCUCCAAAUUAUCUCAUCACAGCGAAUUCCACCUGUUCAAUUCCACCUGUUCUGAGAAACUGUGGUUGAAAGAGGUAAAGCAACUUGCUCAAGAUCAUGUGGCUCGGAAGGAGUACAGCAGGAUUUUAAACUUGGUCUGUGACACCUGUGUCCCUGGGCACUCCCCUGGCCUUCAUGUGACCACUGAAGAGAAAUGAUUUGGCUUCCUGUCCAGUGAACAACAGAGGAAGGAGAGGAUCCCAGGAGCCCUCUCUUCUCCUAGCAAUUCAGCUCUGGAAAGACAUAAGAUGCAAUUGCUGAGCCUCACCCUUUUAUCCUGGGGAUGGGGAACUGAAGCCCAGGAUGAAAAAGGGUUGUUCAAUGUCAUAGCCCAAGUUGGCUCUGCCAAAACCAUUCUCUAAGAACUCACUGGAAGCUGAGUACUCUCCAAGGCACAGCUGGGGGAGACUGCAAACAGCUGGACCCUUGUGCCUUGCCUUCCAAGGCUCUGGAAACAGCAUGUUCACAGAAUGACAGGUGGCACAGAGCUCAGGACACUUGGGUCUUCUUCCUUGGUGGGUUCUAUGCCUGGGGCCAUUCUGUCUCUCUCUUGCCUGGUGCCUUUGCCUCCACCUUGCUUAUAAGCUCUUUUCUUCCAACUACAUUCAGAAGCUCCCUGAACAUUUCAUGCCUGUUAUCCCAGGGGUAUAUGGCCUAUUCCUCACUGCUACCUCUGUUUACAUGCCAUAAAGGGAGAAGCGGCUUAAGGCAUGCAGGGGAGGUGAGUUCACCCAUGGUUGAAAAAGGCAUCUGACUUCAAAGCUGGGAGCUUGGCCCCAGCUCUGCCACUUCAGUGAUGGUUGGCCUCCCACAGCAAACCCAACCCAAGCCCCAGGCUCCUUCCUCUGCCACCCCAGGCAUGCUGGGACUCAGCCAGAGCCGGAGCUUUGAGCUCUGGAGUACAGCUUCAUGUGGACGUCUGAGUGCCCUGGGAGUCCUGGUGUUAUAUUAUUCCCAUAUUGAAGGCCAUCCAAGACUAUGAAAACUCUAGGACAAAACACUUAAAAUUCCAAGCAAAUUCCCAGCCUCGUUUCCUGUGCAUUCCUUCCCACCACCCUGGGCAACUCGAUGGGUUGC